AACAGGAAGCUCUGGCUCUGGUAGUUGCUUAAAAAUGCUGUCCACCCCUUACAUAAGAGAUACAGAGAUACAGGAAAUAGAGAGUUUAUUGGGGUUCAAAAUCCUAGGUGGUGUCACGCCAGAACUGGGAUCCGCAGAUGGUACAUGCUUUGGCUGUAGUUACCUGAAGUCCCCGGGUCAGAAAGGUCCUGUACAAGUCAUGCUUCUGCUGAACGCGAACGGUCUGCGACCUUCUACAGUGAGAAUGUGUGCACCCUGACCACAUGUCCUCCUGGCCAUACGGACUCAGCUGAAUUAUUCCAGGAGGUAUUACGGCCUGACUGCAGUGAUAAUGCCUGUUAUGCUGAAGCCAGUUUGCACAGAACUGAUGACCUCAUUUGUACAGAUGGUUAAAAAAAAAAGUACUUUGUGAUACUAGCCUUCAUAAAACUGAUGUCGGACCACAGUGAUCACUGGUGAAUCCGAUCAUAGCAAAAGAACUACAGAA
Molecule: long non-coding RNA, 487 nt
Organism: Thalassophryne amazonica
Lineage: Eukaryota; Metazoa; Chordata; Actinopteri; Batrachoidiformes; Batrachoididae
Exons: 2
Source: RefSeq, a predicted model, not a curated record